CCUACGGGGGGCUGCAGUAGGGAAUCUUCCGCAAUGGACGAAAGUCUGACGGAGCAACGCCGCGUGAGCGAAGAAGGUCUUCGGAUCGUAAAGCUCUGUUGUUAGGGAAGAACAAGUACGGGAGGAAAUGACCGUACCUUGACGGUACCUGACGAGGAAGCCACGGCUAACUACGUGCCAGCAGCCGCGGUAAUACGUAGGUGGCAAGCGUUGUCCGGAAUUAUUGGGCGUAAAGCGCGCGCAGGCGGUCUUUUAAGUAUGAGGUGAAAUCCUGAGGCAAAACCGCGAGCGGUCAUUGGAAACUGGGAGACGAGGAUGGAGAACAGGCAAGCCGAAUUGAAAAUGUAGCAGUGCAGUGGGUGUAGAUGAGCCUGCACACCAGUUCCAAAGAGGGCUCCCUGGACGGUAGCUGACUGUGAGGCCAGAUGGCGUGGGGGGAAAACAGUAGUAGGUUCACUGUUAGUC
This 465-nucleotide ribosomal RNA is filed under the name uncultured bacterium. Its description in RNAcentral is "bacterial SSU rRNA". It matches the Rfam family "Bacterial small subunit ribosomal RNA", at positions 338 to 795 of the family's 1533-position model. The record is from RNAcentral.